GUGGCCCUGAAGGCGGGGCCAGCAGGAGAGGAACCCAGCGGCAGCCGUGAGCUGGGGGGUGCCCGGGAGUGGGGCAGGGAGCGGGCUUUCAGUCAAGAGCAACAGGAAGUUCAGUAAACACCCACGCCUGGAAGCCAUGCCUUUCCAGGUCUCUGGAGACAGGAUGACUCAGACCCAUGUGAGGUUCCCGGUUCCCCGAAACCCCCAGAUUCCUGAGAACAAUGCUUCACUCAUGUUUGUGUCCGUGCCUGGCACAGCCCCGGCCUUGCUGAAGAGGGCAUGCCCCCUGCCGGGCCCCGGCUGGUUCGAGCCCACAGCGGGGAGGAGGGCCAGCCCAGGCAAAGGCUCUAGGUACAUUCCUCCUGGGAGGCCCCUGGUGCCAAUGAUCAGGAAAAGAUGGAAACUAUCUGUCUUGGCUGUGAUGAAAUGCGUCAGUGUGUAAGCAGAUACGGUAGGUUUCCUGGGAGAGAGAACCAGGCAUGGCUUUCUUAACAGAAGCCAUUUUUAGGCCUAAGCCGUUUUGUGAUCUAAGCUGGGCCACAAUGCUUUGCCCUUGAACAGGUCUCAGUAAUUGAUGAUCUUAAGGGAACAAAAGAACGCAGAAACAAACGACUGUAAUCAGAGAAGAGAAGUAACAACAGCAAAAAUAAUGUUCCAGUUGUAAAGACUCCCGGUUCUGUUUCAAUGGUGACGAUUAGCCUGAAGCCGCAACCACCAGACCUACCGGAAUCUAAGGGGUGAAGAUGACCUUUUCUGACCCUCCUGACUUCAAUCAAAUGAACCCAGGACUCUGCGGGGAGACACUGCUUUGGAGAAGAUCCCCAGUGUUCCCCUUACUUGCAGCCAGAAAUAAACCCUUCCUUUCCAGA
Long non-coding RNA from Orcinus orca (killer whale), 869 nucleotides. RefSeq lists it as uncharacterized. The record is from RefSeq and is a predicted model, not a curated record. NCBI's taxonomy places the organism in Eukaryota, Metazoa, Chordata, Mammalia, Artiodactyla, Delphinidae. The transcript has 2 exons.